GAAAAAAAAUGAUGGGCUGAGCCCAACAUUCUUUGCUAACGACAAAUAUGGCUGGACACUUGCUUAGUAUUCUCGUGCUAAUGCGCAAUGAUUCCAACAAAAGUCAAGUUAUGUUUUUGACUAAGUACAAGGCUACUUGUUUCCUACAAAUAGUUUACAUGGUUAAGAAAACUAGCUAAUUCUUAAGAAGGAAAAGCCAAGUUUAGUUUCUAGCAUCUUUCGUUAAAAGGUUGAUGUGG
This 239-nucleotide unclassified non-coding RNA is filed under the name Hevea brasiliensis (rubber tree). Lineage: Eukaryota; Viridiplantae; Streptophyta; Magnoliopsida; Malpighiales; Euphorbiaceae. The record is from RNAcentral.